RNAcentral lists this transfer RNA (65 nucleotides) under Blepephaeus succinctor. RNAcentral's name for it is "tRNA-Leu". It matches the Rfam family "tRNA". From Rfam's summary of the family: Transfer RNA (tRNA) molecules are approximately 80 nucleotides in length. Lineage: Eukaryota; Metazoa; Arthropoda; Insecta; Coleoptera; Cerambycidae. The record is from RNAcentral.
GUUAUUUUGGCAGAAUAGUGCGAUUGAUUUAGAAUCAUUAUAUGUAGUUUAAAAUACAAAUAACA